This 253-nucleotide ribosomal RNA is filed under the name uncultured bacterium. RNAcentral's name for it is "partial 16S ribosomal RNA". It matches the Rfam family "Bacterial small subunit ribosomal RNA", at positions 524 to 776 of the family's 1533-position model. The record is from RNAcentral.
UACGUAGGUGGCAAGCGUUAUCCGGAUUUAUUGGGCGUAAAGAGAACGCAGGCGGUCUUUUAAGUCUGAUGUGAAAGCCUUCGGCUUAACCGGAGUAGUGCAUUGGAAACUGGGAGACUUGAGUGCAGAAGAGGAGAGUGGAACUCCAUGUGUAGCGGUGAAAUGCGUAGAUAUAUGGAAGAACACCAGUGGCGAAAGCGGCUCUCUGGUCUGUAACUGACGCUGAGGCACGAAAGCGUGGGGAUCGAACAGG